Corvus hawaiiensis (hawaiian crow) is the source of this 279-nucleotide long non-coding RNA. RefSeq lists it as uncharacterized. Lineage: Eukaryota; Metazoa; Chordata; Aves; Passeriformes; Corvidae. The record is from RefSeq and is a predicted model, not a curated record. The transcript has 3 exons.
CUGAGUUUUCAACGCACUAUCUUUUCUUUUUGUCCUAUCAUAACUUCAGAACAGAAAUCUAUUAAGCUAAGCACAGGUUUAUAAAAGAUCAUGAAGCUGCAUAACUGAAUCACAUUGUGUUCCUUAAGCUUUAAAAACAUCAGCGCCUGGAUAAAUGAGCUACUUUGAGGUGUCAGCAACAACCCCAAGCAGGAGGCUCUAUUCUGCUAAGAAAGAUGGCAAUCAACAACAAGAAAGCGAGUUCUAGAUAUCUCAGGCAGAGGGAGAGGACAAUACUGC